GCUAGACCUCCUUGAAGGGUCGUUCGAGACCAGGACGUUGAUAGGUCAGGUGUGUAAGCGCAGUAAUGCGUUCAGCUAACUGAUACUAAUUGCCCGUAAGGCUUGAUCCUAUAACA
RNAcentral lists this ribosomal RNA (116 nucleotides) under Burkholderia sp. Ac-20344. Its description in RNAcentral is "partial 23S ribosomal RNA". It matches the Rfam family "Bacterial large subunit ribosomal RNA", at positions 2819 to 2925 of the family's 2925-position model. Lineage: Bacteria; Pseudomonadati; Pseudomonadota; Betaproteobacteria; Burkholderiales; Burkholderiaceae. The record is from RNAcentral.